RNAcentral lists this ribosomal RNA (253 nucleotides) under uncultured bacterium. RNAcentral's name for it is "partial 16S ribosomal RNA". It matches the Rfam family "Bacterial small subunit ribosomal RNA", at positions 524 to 776 of the family's 1533-position model. The record is from RNAcentral.
UACGUAGGUACCGAGCGUUAUCCGGAUUUACUGGGCGUAAAGCGCGUGCAGGCGGUUUGUCAAGUCGGGCGUGAAAUCUCUCGGCUCAACCGGGAGAGGUUGUCCGAUACUUCCAGACUUGAGGGCAGUAGAGGGUGGUGGAAUUCCGGGUGUAGUGGUGAAAUGCGUAGAUAUCCGGAGGAACACCAGUGGCGAAAGCGGCCCCCUGGACUGCACCUGACGCUGAGACGCGAAAGCUAGGGGAGCGAACGGG